AGAUUCAAUAUUGUUGCAAGACAAUGUGCACUUCUCGCUUAGUAAGACGUUGUGAUCCAUUAGAAAUUGGCUAUUCCAAUAGCUAUGAGGUUAUCAAUAGGCCGGUGUAAAGUUCAUCAUUGCAAAUGUCUAGAUCUUAGAUGGUCGAGUGUAUUGUAUGUUGAGUGCACCGCGUUUGCUUAUAACUGUCUGAUGGAUUUUAAAGAUUAUAACAUUGAUGUUCGCAUCACCCAGGUUAUAUAUCCGAUCAACAACGGUUAAAUUUGGGAUACCUUUUGGACCCGUCUUGAAACACGGACCAAGGAGUCUAUCUAUUGCGCGAGUAAAUGAGUAUAUGAAACUUAUUUGCGUAAAAAACUUGACUGUUAUGGGAUUACRAGUUUUCAACGGUGCUCCUCCAUCCCGGGGUAUUUUCAUCAACACAUGCAGCAAUGUAUGUGGAAAAUAUACCAUGAGCGUAGUGGAUAUGACCCGAAAGAUGGUGAACUAUGCCUGAUCAGGUUGAAGUCAGGGGAAACCCUGAUGGAGGACCGAAGCAAUUCUGACGUGCAAAUCGAUUGUCAGAAUUGGGCAU
This 574-nucleotide ribosomal RNA is filed under the name Cricotopus flavozonatus. RNAcentral's name for it is "eukaryotic LSU rRNA". It matches the Rfam family "Eukaryotic large subunit ribosomal RNA", at positions 431 to 918 of the family's 3401-position model. Lineage: Eukaryota; Metazoa; Arthropoda; Insecta; Diptera; Chironomidae. The record is from RNAcentral.